Molecule: long non-coding RNA, 613 nt
Organism: Betta splendens (Siamese fighting fish)
Lineage: Eukaryota; Metazoa; Chordata; Actinopteri; Anabantiformes; Osphronemidae
Exons: 2
Source: RefSeq, a predicted model, not a curated record
AGCAACCAGGGAACAAGCUUCCUACCGCCAAUGCAGGAGAAAAUAGCCACACAGGAGGGCAUUGCUGGCCGCAGAGCGAGGCUAGCAUGACAGCCAGCAAGCCUGAAGACUGACUACACCCCCGCCAGCUGAGCGCCAAGACUUUGUUCCUGCUGCAGAAUCUGGUCAUGGCUUUCCUGUUACCUUGUUACCAUGUUACCUGCACGUGGAGCACCAGUGUUCAUCUGAAGUUAACUUUUUCUGGUUUGUUUGACGACAAGGUCAAUAACUAAUGACAGUGAAAUAACUGAGUGAACUUCUAUGUAUAAAGAUUUCAUUGACUUACUCAUGAUCACGCUUAUCACAACUACAUUUGGUUUUGGUGCAGAUCAGCUGCCCCCAGGUGGCAAAAUAAUGGAUUACUAUAGCUUUGAGCUCCUACAAGAACCAUUUAGAUCUUUUAAUCUUGCAGAUCUUCUUUCAGUGCUAUUUAUAGCUCAGGCCUUAUUAAGUUAUGGUUAUGACUCAGAACUUGGUUUUCUUGCAUGUUAUAUAUCUCACAGUGUUUUGCAGAUUUCCAUGUUGAGCAUUAUUGUUUUUAGUUAAUAAUAAAGUCAAAUAUGAUUUUUAUUUU